Molecule: ribosomal RNA, 253 nt
Filed under: uncultured bacterium
Lineage: Bacteria
Description: partial 16S ribosomal RNA
Rfam family: Bacterial small subunit ribosomal RNA
Source: RNAcentral
UACGGGGGGGGCAAGCGUUGUUCGGAAUUACUGGGCGUAAAGGGCUCGUAGGUGGCCAACUAAGUCAGACGUGAAAUCCCUCGGCUUAACCGGGGAACUGCGUCUGAUACUGGAUGGCUUGAGAUUGGGAGAGGGAUGCGGAAUUCCAGGUGUAGCGGUGAAAUGCGUAGAUAUCUGGAGGAACACCGGUGGCGAAGGCGGCAUCCUGGACCAGCACUGACACUGAGGAGCGAAAGCCAGGGGAGCAAACGGG